This is a long non-coding RNA of Bubalus bubalis (water buffalo), 343 nucleotides long. RefSeq lists it as uncharacterized. The record is from RefSeq and is a predicted model, not a curated record. The transcript has 2 exons. Lineage: Eukaryota; Metazoa; Chordata; Mammalia; Artiodactyla; Bovidae.
CAUGAGGUGGCCAAAGUACUGGAGUUUCAGCUCAGCAUCAGUCCUUCCAAUGUGAAGAAGAAAAUCAUGAUUAAAACUAAAAUGAUAUUAACUGAAAACAAGCAGAGAUGAAAGAAGGCUCUUUUAAGGAGGAGCAUUGUAGCUACUGAUUAGUAUUUGCAUCCAGUUGGAACUUUCACAAAGGAAAUCAGCAACAGGCAAUUCUUGCUCCCUAUCAAAACUCCUUAAGCCUUCUAGAAAGAAGAGGCAUGAAUGCUACAGAUUCUUUGAAAAUUUUAAAGUCUAAGUAGUAUACUUUAUGCUACAAACUGAAUAUAUUAAACUGAGUAAUGAUGAAAAAUUA